Molecule: small RNA, 75 nt
Filed under: Rhodoferax sp.
Lineage: Bacteria; Pseudomonadati; Pseudomonadota; Betaproteobacteria; Burkholderiales; Comamonadaceae
Also listed under: 1 other name
Description: sX9 sRNA
Rfam family: Xanthomonas sRNA sX9
Source: RNAcentral
ACGUACAGGGAGUACGUUGCGGUUCCUGUGCUCCGUCCGCCUUGCCUGAGACCUGCUCGCUGCGCUUCCUCAGCC